This 534-nucleotide ribosomal RNA is filed under the name uncultured archaeon. RNAcentral's name for it is "bacterial SSU rRNA". It matches the Rfam family "Archaeal small subunit ribosomal RNA", at positions 460 to 997 of the family's 1478-position model. The record is from RNAcentral.
AGCAGCCGCGGUAACACCGGCAGCUCUAGUGGUAACAAUUUAUUGGCCGUAAAGCGUCCGUAGCCGGUUAAUAAGUCUCUGGUGAAAUCCUGUAGCUUAACUGUGGGAAUGCUGGAGAUACUAUUAGACUUGAGACCGGGAGAGGUUAGAGGUACUCCCAGGGUAGAGGUGAAAUUCUGUAAUCCUGGGAGGACCGCCUGUUGCGAAGGCGUCUAACUGGAACGGUUCUGACGGUGAGGGACGAAAGUUAGGGGCGCGAACCGGAUUAGAUACCCGGGUAGUCCUAACUGUAAACGAUGCGGACUUGGUGUUGGGGUGGCUUUGAGCUGCUCCAGUGCCGAAGGGAAGCUGUUAAGUCCGCCGCCUGGGAAGUACGGUCGCAAGACUGAAACUUAAGGAAUUGGCGGGGGAGCACCACAACGCGUGGAGCCUGCCGGUUUAAUUGGAUUCAACGCCGGACAUCUCACCAGAGGCGACAGCUGUAUGAUAGCCAGGUUGAUGACUUUGCUUGACUAGCUGAGAGGUGGUGCAUGG